This 825-nucleotide long non-coding RNA is filed under the name Prunus persica (peach). RNAcentral's name for it is "long non-coding RNA (PPER_LNC006692)". Lineage: Eukaryota; Viridiplantae; Streptophyta; Magnoliopsida; Rosales; Rosaceae. The record is from RNAcentral.
AGGAUAAAAAUCAGUGUCCCAACAUUUCAUACAAAUAUAAACCUGAUUCAAGUUUCCCUUUCUUGUCUGACUCUAGAACCUUUCUUCUAAACUAUGGAACCAUGUAUCUUCUAUUUUCCGAAACUAGAACUAACAGUUGUCAGACCAAAGAAUUACAUCAAACUGGGGAAAGCUUUCUAAAACAAAAAAUUAAGAUACCAAUAUCACCGUGACUUGAAGCAAAAUAUUAAUCAGAACCUAAAGAGAGCUAGGAUGCUGCUAAUUAACUUGCAGACCUUGGAGCUAUUGGUGUUGUGGAACAAGCACUCACAGGAUAACAUGAUGCUCAAUUACAUACGUAUAGCAAACCAUUACGUAUAGCAAACCAUUCAUAAAACUAUUGACACAAGUAUGAGCGCAAGUCCAGAAGUUAAUAUAUGUUCCUGACCAAAAAAAAAAAAAAUCGAUUGACGUGCACACGAGUGCAUGCCAAAAGGUAAUUUGCAGCCUGUCUGAUCAUGUAGUAGAGCCCUAUCAUGCAAAACAUAGGCUAGCCAGGUUUUGUCAUAUUUGAAAAUAAUGGUAAAAUAAUGGUAGAGGUAGAGCUGUAAUGCUGAAGUUAUUUUUGUUGUACAAAGUUGUUCUGCUUUGUGAAUAAGCAAGGGAAAUAGUGUGAUUUUAUAUAGGUGGAAUGGAAGGUGGAAGCCAUAUAUACAAGCAAUUACUAAUUUCCCUGAUCCCUUUUGCCAGUUGGGGCCAUAUAUGUGUGCUUAUAGUUCGGUUUGGGAUACAUAAUUGUGAUCAUAGCUAGAUCUAUUUAAUAUUAUUAUUUUAACCGUAUCUACC